RNAcentral lists this ribosomal RNA (468 nucleotides) under uncultured bacterium. RNAcentral describes it as "partial 16S ribosomal RNA". It matches the Rfam family "Bacterial small subunit ribosomal RNA", at positions 28 to 507 of the family's 1533-position model. The record is from RNAcentral.
GACGAACGCUGGCGGCGUGCUUAACACAUGCAAGUCGAACGGAAAGGCCCUGCUUUUGUGGGGUGCUCGAGUGGCGAACGGGUGAGUAACACGUGAGUAAACUGCCCUUGACUUUGGGAUAACUUCAGGAAACUGGGGCUAAUACCGGAUAGGAGCUCCUGCUGCAUGGUGGGGGUUGGAAAGUUUCGGCGGUUGGGGCUGGACUCGCGGCUUAUCAGCUUGUUGGUGGGGUAGUGGCUUACCAAGGCUUUGACGGGUAGCCGGCCUGAGAGGGUGACCGGCCACAUUGGGACUGCGGUACGGCCCAGACUCCUACGGGAGGCAGCAGUGGGGAAUAUUGCACAAUGGGCGGAAGCCUGAUGCAGCAACGCCGCGUGCGGGAUGACGGCCUUCGGGUUGUAAACCGCUUUCGCCUGUGACGAAGCGUGAGUGACGGUAAUGGGUAAAGAAGCACCGGCUAACUACGUG